Molecule: ribosomal RNA, 478 nt
Filed under: uncultured bacterium
Lineage: Bacteria
Description: partial 16S ribosomal RNA
Rfam family: Bacterial small subunit ribosomal RNA
Source: RNAcentral
GACGAACGCUGGCGGCGUGCUUAACACAUGCAAGUCGAACGGUAAGGCCCUUCGGGGUACACGAGUGGCGAACGGGUGAGUAACACGUGGGUGAUCUGCCCUGCACUUCGGGAUAAGCCUGGGAAACUGGGUCUAAUACCGGAUAGGACCACUGCCUGCAUGGGUGGUGGUGGAAAGCUUUUGCGGUGUGGGAUGGGCCCGCGGCCUAUCAGCUUGUUGGUGGGGUGAUGGCCUACCAAGGCGACGACGGGUAGCCGGCCUGAGAGGGUGACCGGCCACACUGGGACUGAGAUACGGCCCAGACUCCUACGGGAGGCAGCAGUGGGGAAUAUUGCACAAUGGGCGCAAGCCUGAUGCAGCGACGCCGCGUGAGGGAUGACGGCCUUCGGGUAGUAAACCUCUUUCAGCACCGACGAAGCGCAAGUGACGGUAGGUGCAGAAGAAGGACCGGCCAACUACGUGCCAGCCGCAGUAAGAC